RNAcentral lists this transfer RNA (61 nucleotides) under Ictidomys tridecemlineatus (thirteen-lined ground squirrel). Its description in RNAcentral is "Spermophilus tridecemlineatus (thirteen-lined ground squirrel) tRNA". It matches the Rfam family "tRNA", at positions 6 to 65 of the family's 71-position model. Rfam says of the family: Transfer RNA (tRNA) molecules are approximately 80 nucleotides in length. Lineage: Eukaryota; Metazoa; Chordata; Mammalia; Rodentia; Sciuridae. The record is from Rfam by way of RNAcentral.
UGUGGCUCAGUGGUAGAGCACUUACCUAGUAUUUGUGAGACUCUGGGUUCAAUUCUCAGCA